AGGGAAUAUGCGAUGUUGUUAAGUCAGUAUAAGAGGAGGAAAGUGAUUAAUGGUUUGAGGAAGAUAAGGGAAUUUGGUUGAAUUCCGCGAGUUUAUCUUGCAUCAUUUUAAAGAACAUGUUUCUAGAAGACAGCUGUAUGGGCUGUUAAAUGCAUAAUGUUCUCAACUGUCUUAUUUAACCUGCCAGGUCUGUUCAUAGUUUAAUAUUUCAUUUUGCAGAACAGAAUGUUGCUUCUCUG
Non-coding RNA from Pelobates cultripes (western spadefoot toad), 239 nucleotides. The record is from the annotation of a GenBank genome assembly. NCBI's taxonomy places the organism in Eukaryota, Metazoa, Chordata, Amphibia, Anura, Pelobatidae.